RNAcentral lists this ribosomal RNA (150 nucleotides) under Cletus poikilus. Its description in RNAcentral is "partial small subunit ribosomal RNA". It matches the Rfam family "Eukaryotic small subunit ribosomal RNA", at positions 20 to 170 of the family's 1831-position model. The record is from RNAcentral. Lineage: Eukaryota; Metazoa; Arthropoda; Insecta; Hemiptera; Coreidae.
GUAGUCAUAUGCUUGUCUCAAAGCUUAAGCCAUGCAAGUCUCAGUACGAGCUGCAUUAAAGUGAAACCGCAAAAGGCUCAGUAAACCGGUCAUAGUUUACCGGACAUAUACCACUUACGUGGAUAACUGUGGUAAUUCUAGAGCUAAUAC